GUCUAUGGCCACAUCACCUUGAACAUGCCUGAUCUCGUCUGAUCUCAGAAGCUAAGCAGGGUCAGGCCUGGUAAGUACUUGGAUAGGAGAUUAGCAUGUAACUGAGAACUGUGUGGC
This 117-nucleotide ribosomal RNA is filed under the name Oryctolagus cuniculus (rabbit). The record is from RNAcentral. Lineage: Eukaryota; Metazoa; Chordata; Mammalia; Lagomorpha; Leporidae.